Neofelis nebulosa (Clouded leopard) is the source of this 556-nucleotide long non-coding RNA. RefSeq lists it as uncharacterized. Lineage: Eukaryota; Metazoa; Chordata; Mammalia; Carnivora; Felidae. The transcript has 2 exons. The record is from RefSeq and is a predicted model, not a curated record.
AGUGCAGGUCUGGAGAAAGAGAGCAAGAUGGAAACCAUGGUAACUUUUAUGACCUUGUCUCAAAAAUUGUGUAGCAUCCAUCCACUCCAUUCUAUUGCUCAAGGAGUACACAGUUCUGCUUAAGUUCAAGGGGAGGGAACAGAGACUCCAUUUCUUGAUGGAGGAGUGUCAACGUUAUAUUACAUUGUAAGAAGGCUAUGUGGGAUAGGAUAUGAACUGGUUCAUGUUCCAUCCUGGACAUUCACCAUUUCUCCAGGGCCUGUGGGGAUUCCAGGAUGUGGAGGCAAAGAAAUAUGAGGGAAAGCCCUGGGCGACAGCGUGCUAGCAACAUCCUGUGCUUUAGCUAUAGGGAGAGAGAAGGUGGCGAGGAGUCUUGUGCAACCUGGCUUAUCAUCCUGCACAUCCCAUUAGAAGAUUGCAGGGUUUUGGUCUUUCAGGUCUGGCCUGAAAGAACUUAGCAUUAAUGUGAGAAAUCCAAAGUUUCCAAGUGUCUCUCCCCAGUCUUCAACUUUUAAGACCUAAUUAUAAAACUUAUACACUGGUUCAUGUUGAAUAA